AUUGAACGCUGGCGGCAGGCCUAACACAUGCAAGUCGAACGGUAACAGGAAGCAGCUUGCUGCUUCGCUGACGAGUGGCGGACGGGUGAGUAAUGUCUGGGAAGCUGCCUGAUGGAGGGGGAUAACUACUGGAAACGGUAGCUAAUACCGCAUAAUGUCGCAAGACCAAAGAGGGGGACCUUCGGGCCUCGUGCCAUCGGAUGUGCCCAGAUGGGAUUAGCUUGUUGGUGGGGUAACGGCUCACCAAGGCGACGAUCCCUAGCUGGUCUGAGAGGAUGACCAGCCACACGGGAACUGAGACACGGUCCAGACUCCUACGGGAGGCAGCAGUGGGGAAUAUUGCACAAUGGGCGCAAGCCUGAUGCAGCCAUGCCGCGUGUAUGAAGAAGGCCUUCGGGUUGUAAAGUACUUUCAGCGGGGAGGAAGGGAGUAAAGUUAAUACCUUUGCUGAUUGACGUUACCCGCAGAAGAAGCACCGGCUAACUCCGUG
This 490-nucleotide ribosomal RNA is filed under the name uncultured bacterium. RNAcentral describes it as "partial 16S ribosomal RNA". It matches the Rfam family "Bacterial small subunit ribosomal RNA", at positions 30 to 507 of the family's 1533-position model. The record is from RNAcentral.